RNAcentral lists this signal recognition particle RNA (99 nucleotides) under Spirochaetales bacterium. RNAcentral describes it as "signal recognition particle sRNA small type". It matches the Rfam family "Bacterial small signal recognition particle RNA". Rfam says of the family: The signal recognition particle (SRP) is a universally conserved ribonucleoprotein involved in the co-translational targeting of proteins to membranes. Archaeal SRP consists of a 7S RNA and homologues of the eukaryotic SRP19 and SRP54 proteins. In most bacteria, the SRP consists of a 4.5S RNA and the Ffh protein (a homologue of the eukaryotic SRP54 protein). The record is from RNAcentral. Lineage: Bacteria; Pseudomonadati; Spirochaetota; Spirochaetia; Spirochaetales.
AGCCAGGACCUACGCUACCGGCCGUCGCCCAACUCCGUCAGGACCGGGAGGUAGCAGCGGUAAGUGAUUGGCCGAUGUGCAGUAGUAAUCUUGACUGGA